This 253-nucleotide ribosomal RNA is filed under the name uncultured bacterium. Its description in RNAcentral is "partial 16S ribosomal RNA". It matches the Rfam family "Bacterial small subunit ribosomal RNA", at positions 524 to 776 of the family's 1533-position model. The record is from RNAcentral.
UACGUAGGGUGCAAGCGUUGUCCGGAAUCAUUGGGCGUAAAGAGCUCGUAGGCGGUUUGUCGCGUCUGCUGUGAAAACCUGGGGCUUAACCCCGGGCCUGCAGUGGGUACGGGCAGACUAGAGUGCGGUAGGGGAGACUGGAAUUCCUGGUGUAGCGGUGAAAUGCGUAGAUAUCUGGAGGAACACCGGUGGCGAAGGCGGCAUCCUGGACCAUUACUGACACUGAAAAGCGAAAGCCAGGGGAGCAAACGGG